This 2512-nucleotide long non-coding RNA is filed under the name Vombatus ursinus (common wombat). RNAcentral's name for it is "lncRNA (ENSVURG00010024422.1)". The record is from RNAcentral. Lineage: Eukaryota; Metazoa; Chordata; Mammalia; Diprotodontia; Vombatidae.
GAGCUGGCCCACCCUGCCCCUGAGCUGGGGGGCGCAGGCCUUGGCGUGCAGCUUACCUGCGACAUCAGGCCAGGAGAAAAUGAGGUUCCUUCUGAAGAUGCACUUAUCCUACAACUGCAGCUUGCUAAAGGACAAGAAAAAUUUGUUGAGAUGCUAAAAAGCCAGCAGAAAGUAAUUGCUGAUUUGCAGCACAAACUCACCGAGCAACAGAACAUGUUGAUUAGCCAGCAAACAGAAAUCCUAGAACAACAGAAGAAAAUGUAUGAGCAAAUGAAUCUCAUUAAGGUCCAGUACAGCAUGCUUUUUGACACAGUGAGACAAAUGUCAUUCCAGAAUUUGCAGGAGGAUAUCCAGCAUUAUUUUCAAACUCACCUUCAAGGACUUCAAAACCAGGUCAGAAAUCAUCUGCAGAAGUCAUACUCUGUGCAUAAGGUUGAAGUUGAUGCAAAAAUGAUUGAUGUUGGAGAAACUUCACUGGACUGUGGCCUUUGUGAAAGUGAUGAAUUUUGCAAUUUCCAGAAGACUCCCUCUCAGUGUGAAAAAUGCACUCUUUGCCCUGCUGGCUUUUUCCAAAUGUCUGAAUGUUCUGCAAAUACUGACCGGAUUUGUCAGGACAGGGAUGAAUGCAUUGAAUCUCCAAAUAUUUGUGGUGAAAGAAUAAAAUGUCUGAACACCCCAGGUGGCUUCCGAUGUCUGGGCAUUGCGGAGAAGGAUGCCUCUCUUGGGUUUUGCGGGGAUGGUUAUUUCUUCAAUAGGGAAGUGCAAGAAUGCCAGGCAUGUUGGGAGUGUGAAGACGGAAUGGUGGCUCUCCCCUGCUCUGCAGUUAGUGACACCGUCUGCGCGGCAGCCAGUGAAAGCCGGCUCACCAAGUCUUGGGCUGCAGAUCUCCAGCUGCCCUCAGCAAAGUCUGCCUCUGUUCAGGUCUAUCCUGGCUUAAACCUUAAGUUAAAAGGGAAGAUGAAAUUCGAUAUCGCCUUCAUCGAGGACAACAAGCUCGUCUUCAGGCAGCAUGGCUUACUCUGGGUUGACCUCAACUUCGCUGUGAAACACAACUGUAGGAACUUUCUCCAGCUCUCCCUCAAGUCAAAUAGCAGCGAGGAGGGGUCUGAGCUCAGCGGGGUUCGCAUCGAACAGCCAGAAGGAAAGUAUUUCCAGAGCGCGAGCUUAAGUAGUGCCGCCGAAGUGGAGCCACGCCAGACCCUGGCCGUGUUCUUGAGAAGCCCAAAUCAGUUCUGCAACCAAAGCAAAGACUUGAACGUGUAUGACCUCCACACACCACUCAGCUUGUUCUGGUUGUCCCAUGACACGGGGGCGGUAGCCAUGAGUGCACAGAUGUCCACAGCUACGCACUACCAGACCAACUACCGCCCUACGUUUAAAAUUAAUUCUGUUUCUGACCCGUACAUGAUAAGCUUAUCUCACGACGGAAGAGGCAUAAGGUUCACCGAAGCUGGUGUCAUCAAGUUUGUUUUCCACCAGGCACUGUACUCCAUGGGUCACACUUGUGUCCGAGAAGGGUUUUCCUUGAUUUCCUACAUCGGCAGGAACGGUACCAACGUAGAACUGAUGAACACAUUCAAAUCUGGAGUAAAUUACCGAGACACUUCUCUGUCUGCCUCUGGGGCAACUAGAGUCCAGGCUGGAGAUCAGAUUAACUUUGAGAUUUUUUCGCCAGCUCAGUGUAGCGUUCGCUACUUUGGGGACAGCUCGGGCGUGAGUACAUUUAGCCUCAUCUGGAUCCCAUCUGCAGUUUCUACUGCUCUUUCAGCCACUGUUUCCACUACAGGCCUGCCUACUGGAGCUGUCAGGAACAAAUUUUUGGAUUUCAAACUUGUCACAUCCAAUGAGAAACAGAUACAGCUGGUUUCUUCUGGAAAGUUUGCUCAGAGGUAUUUCAUAUUUACAGAGAAGGGAGUUGCCAGUGUUGCUUUUAACCUAAAGUUGAUCCAUUCAUGUAAUGUGAUCAAGGUUACCUUAAAUCAGUUGAUUCAGGAUCAGACACACCCAGCAGCAAUUGCACAACAAAUCGGAGGUCAGAUGCCAGAGGGAAGCAUGUGGACCAGUGUGAGCCUCUGUUCUUCUUUUGAAGUUCACAAUGGUACAAUGAUCUCCAUUUCUCUUGACUGUGUUCGUGGAAGGAUCAAUCAGAUUGCUCACCAACGUGGAAUGGGCAUAUCAAUUUUGUGGAUCUCAUCUUAAAUUUUUUGGGGGAUAAGAAAAACUGAUGGGUAGCUUUGAAGGUACUCUGUGGACAUUGUAUACUAUUAAAUAGUUUGUGAAAAUGCACAAGGUUUUAUAGAAAUAUUCUUAUUUCAAGAUGUUAGAUUAUAUAUACAAAGAGAAGACUUUCUUUAAAAAAAAUCACCAACUUGCACUGUUAAUAUUUACCCCCUCUAAGAAAUUGGAUUCAAUUUGGGUUCUAGUUUUGACAGCAUAGUCAUAUUAAAUGCAGAAUUUGUGUAAAUAUCAUGAGAAAGUUAAAUGAAUAAAAACAACUUGCCACAGAAAUUCA